Molecule: non-coding RNA, 204 nt
Organism: Cinara cedri
Lineage: Eukaryota; Metazoa; Arthropoda; Insecta; Hemiptera; Aphididae
Source: the annotation of a GenBank genome assembly
UGUGCCUGUGCGAACAACGAUUCUGAGCGGGGUUCGGUUGAACACGUUUCUGAAAGGCCGUGAUAUUUACGAUUUGAAAAUAAUACAUUUCGUAUACGUUUUCCCUGUUUUUCCUACAUUAUUUCCGGUUUAUUAUGUAAGACCCCUGGGAAAAUCGAAAAACGACCUCCGUAAAGUACCGCGCCGGCGAUAUUUCCUUUCAGA